This 565-nucleotide long non-coding RNA is filed under the name Salvia miltiorrhiza (redroot sage). Its description in RNAcentral is "long non-coding RNA (SMIL_LNC010632)". Lineage: Eukaryota; Viridiplantae; Streptophyta; Magnoliopsida; Lamiales; Lamiaceae. The record is from RNAcentral.
GCAUGUAAUGUGUGUGUGGUGUGUGAAUGUGUAGUGUGCGUGUGUUAUAUAUAUAUGUAACUAAAUAUAAGCCAAAANAAAAAACAUUUAAAUGGAUUUAUAUGCUUAACUAAUAAAAGUUUCUAGAAAAUGUUGUGUUGGCAAGUUAAUAUGAAAUUUUCACAUGAGAAUUACAAGUGUCCUUUCUAUUAUAUUAUCACUUAAUUUUCAAUUCCUAGAAACCCUUUUCAUUCAUUUAGUUUUCCCUCAUCCCUUCGAAACAGCCAAGUUUGGAGAAAACUACAUCUUAGAGUUUUACAAAUUAAGGUGUUCAUGCUUCUUAUGGUUUCUUGUUAAUUCUUGAAGUUAUGUGUGUAUGUAGAGUUUUAAUUUUAUGAAAGAUUUAUGUUAGAAUCAUGAUAAUUGUGUUUGGUAUAAAGAGAUUACAUAUAGAAAUAAGGGUUGAAAUCCCCUGUUUCGGCCAGAAUUGUUGUUAAAAUUGUUGAGAGCGUCUCCUAUAGUUGACAUGAAGGAAUAUCGAUUUUCAAAUUUUCUGUGCGUAAUAUUGUGUUUCUAGUGUUCGAAU